This 253-nucleotide ribosomal RNA is filed under the name uncultured bacterium. Its description in RNAcentral is "partial 16S ribosomal RNA". It matches the Rfam family "Bacterial small subunit ribosomal RNA", at positions 524 to 776 of the family's 1533-position model. The record is from RNAcentral.
UACGGAGGAUGCAAGCGUUAUCCGGAAUGAUUGGGCGUAAAGCGUCCGCAGGUGGCUGUGUAAGUCUGCUGUCAAAGAGCGAAGCUCAACUUCGUAAAGGCAGUGGAAACUACACGGCUAGAGUGCGUUCGGGGCAGAGGGAAUUCCUGGUGUAGCGGUGAAAUGCGUAGAGAUCAGGAAGAACACCGGUGGCGAAGGCGCUCUGCUAGGCCGCAACUGACACUGAGGGACGAAGGCCAGGGGAGCAAACGGG